AUUGUGAGCUCGAUGAGUAGGGCGGGACACGUGGUAUCCUGUCUGAAUAUGGGGGGACCAUCCUCCAAGGCUAAAUACUCCUGACUGACCGAUAGUGAACCAGUACCGUGAGGGAAAGGCGAAAAGAACCCCGGCGAGGGGAGUGAAAAAGAACCUGAAACCGUGUACGUACAAGCAGUGGGAGCCUCUUAAUGGGGUGACUGCGUACCUUUUGUAUAAUGGGUCAGCGACUUAUAUUCUGUAGCAAGGUUAACCGAAUAGGGGAGCCGAAGGGAAACCGAGUCUUAACUGGGCGUUAAGUUGCAGGGUAUAGACCCGAAACCCGGUGAUCUAGCCAUGGGCAGGUUGAAGGUUGGGUAACACUAACUGGAGGACCGAACCGACUAAUGUUGAAAAAUUAGCGGAUGACUUGUGGCUGGGGGUGAAAGGCCAAUCAAACCGGGAGAUAGCUGGUUCUCCCCGAAAGCUAUUUAGGUAGCGCCUCGUGAAUUCAUCUCCGGGGGUAGAGCACUGUUUCGGCAAGGGGGUCAUCCCGACUUACCAACCCGAUGCAAACUGCGAAUACCGGAGAAUGUUAUCACGGGAGACACACGGCGGGUGCUAACGUCCGUCGUGAAGAGGGAAACAACCCAGACCGCCAGCUAAGGUCCCAAAGUCAUGGUUAAGUGGGAAACGAUGUGGGAAGGCCCAGACAGCCAGGAUGUUGGCUUAGAAGCAGCCAUCAUUUAAAGAAAGCGUAAUAGCUCACUGGUCGAGUCGGCCUGCGCGGAAGAUGUAACGGGGCUAAACCAUGCACCGAAGCUGCGGCAGCGACACUAUGUGUUGUUGGGUAGGGGAGCGUUCUGUAAGCCUGUGAAGGUG
RNAcentral lists this ribosomal RNA (861 nucleotides) under Escherichia coli. Its description in RNAcentral is "partial 23S ribosomal RNA". It matches the Rfam family "Bacterial large subunit ribosomal RNA", at positions 396 to 1258 of the family's 2925-position model. The record is from RNAcentral. Lineage: Bacteria; Pseudomonadati; Pseudomonadota; Gammaproteobacteria; Enterobacterales; Enterobacteriaceae.